This 396-nucleotide ribosomal RNA is filed under the name uncultured bacterium. Its description in RNAcentral is "bacterial SSU rRNA". It matches the Rfam family "Bacterial small subunit ribosomal RNA", at positions 30 to 428 of the family's 1533-position model. The record is from RNAcentral.
AUUAAACGCUGGCGGCAUGCCUUACACAUGCAAGUCGAACGGUAGCGCGGGGCAACCUGGUGGCGAGUGGCGAACGGGUGAGUAAUGCAUCGGAACGUGCCAUUGAGUGGGGGAUAACGUAGCGAAAGUUGCGCUAAUACCGCAUAUUCUGUGAGCAGGAAAGCAGGGGACCGCAAGGCCUUGCGCUCUUUGAGCGGCCGAUGUCAGAUUAGCUAGUUGGUGAGGUAACGGCUUACCAAGGCGACGAUCUGUAGCGGGUCUGAGAGGAUGAUCCGCCACACUGGAACUGAGACACGGUCCAGACUCCUACGGGAGGCAGCAGUGGGGAAUUUUGGACAAUGGGCGCAAGCCUGAUCCAGCCAUGCCGCGUGAGUGAAGAAGGCCUUCGGGUUGGUU